GUACUCGCUUCGGCAGCACAUAUAUUAAAAUUGGAACGAUACAGAGAAGAUUAGCAUGGCCCCUGCACAAAGAUGACACGCAAAUUUGUGAAGAUUAUAUAUUAAAA
Small nuclear RNA from Suncus etruscus (white-toothed pygmy shrew), 107 nucleotides. Lineage: Eukaryota; Metazoa; Chordata; Mammalia; Eulipotyphla; Soricidae. The record is from RefSeq and is a predicted model, not a curated record.